RNAcentral lists this ribosomal RNA (464 nucleotides) under uncultured bacterium. RNAcentral's name for it is "bacterial SSU rRNA". It matches the Rfam family "Bacterial small subunit ribosomal RNA", at positions 338 to 795 of the family's 1533-position model. The record is from RNAcentral.
CCUACGGGGUGCACCAGUAGGGAACCCUCGGCAAUGGACGAAAGUCUGACCGAGCAACGCCGCGUGAGUGAAGAAGGUUUUCGGAUCGUAAAACUCUGUUGUUAGAGAAGAACAAGUAGGAGAGUAACUGCUCUUACCUUGACGGUAUCUAACCAGAAAGCCACGGCUAACUACGUGCCAGCAGCCGCGGUAUUCGUAGGUGGCAAGCGUUGUCCGGAUUUAUUGGGCGUAAAGCGAGCGCAGGCGGUCUUUUAAGUCUGAUGUGAAAGCCCUCGGCUCAACCGAGGAAGGUCAUUGGAUACUGGAGGACUUGAGUGCAGAAGAGGAGAGUGGAAUUCCAUGUGUAGCGGUGAAAUGCGUAGAUAUAUGGAGGAACACCAGUGGCGAAGGCGACUCUCUGGUCUGUAACUGACGCUGAGGCUCGAAAGCGUGGGGAGCAAACAGGAUUAGAUACCCUUGUAGUC